Molecule: transfer RNA, 70 nt
Filed under: Podoviridae sp. ctrub15
Lineage: Duplodnaviria; Heunggongvirae; Uroviricota; Caudoviricetes
Description: tRNA-Gln
Rfam family: tRNA
About the family: Transfer RNA (tRNA) molecules are approximately 80 nucleotides in length. Their secondary structure includes four short double-helical elements and three loops (D, anti-codon, and T loops).
Source: RNAcentral
GGCAUAGUUCAGUUGGCAGAGCAACAGAUUUUGAUUUCGUCGGUCGCAGGUUUGAUCCCUGCUGCCACCA